AUGGCAAGCGGUCCUGACAUGGUGGUGCUGGGAGCAAGUGGAGCGUUUUCUUGCAGACGGGGAACCUCUUGGCAGCUUCUUCCUUCGUGCACGGGCACACGGCGCGGUGGAUCACGCCGUGGGACCACACACCUUGGAGCGAGGACAGGACGUCGUCUUGACGCGGAGGAGGCGGAGGCGCUCCAUGAGCCGCACGUCUCGGUGCGAGGGUGCCAUCUUGGUGCGGAGGGGGCGGAGGCGCUCCGUGAGCCACAUCGCCCGCAGCCGGGGGCAGGCGAGGCAGCAAUAGGGAUGGUGCAGGAGAGCCCCCCGCGGCGCUGA
Molecule: ribosomal RNA, 321 nt
Filed under: Triticum aestivum (bread wheat)
Lineage: Eukaryota; Viridiplantae; Streptophyta; Magnoliopsida; Poales; Poaceae
Description: partial small subunit ribosomal RNA
Source: RNAcentral